GAUGAACGCUAGCGGCAGGCUUAACACAUGCAAGUCGAGGGGCAGCACGUCUUCGGAUGGUGGCGACCGGCGCACGGGUGCGUAACGCGUAUACAAUCUACCUUUUACAGGGGCAUAGCCCGGGGAAACCCGGAUUAAUAUCCCAUGGUACCAUGCUAUGGCAUCAUAUUAUGGUUAAAGCUUCGGCGGUGAAAGAUGAGUAUGCGUUCUAUUAGCUAGAUGGUAAGGUAACGGCUUACCAUGGCUUUGAUAGAUAGGGGUCCUGAGAGGGAGAUCCCCCACACUGGUACUGAGACACGGACCAGACUCCUACGGGAGGCAGCAGUGAGGAAUAUUGGACAAUGGGCGAGAGCCUGAUCCAGCCAUGCCGCGUGCAGGAAGACGGCCCUAUGGGUUGUAAACUGCUUUUAUACGGGAGAAACACUCCCUCGUGAGGGAGCUUGACGGUACCGUAUGAAUAAGGAUCGGCUAACUCCGUGCCAGCAGCCGAC
Molecule: ribosomal RNA, 491 nt
Filed under: uncultured bacterium
Lineage: Bacteria
Description: bacterial SSU rRNA
Rfam family: Bacterial small subunit ribosomal RNA
Source: RNAcentral